AUGAGCUGUGAGAUCAUGACCUGAGCUGAAGUUGGCCACUUAACCCACUGAGCCCCCCAGGGUGCCCCUGAAGUCGCUCACUUGGAAAGAGCAGCUUUCCAUAAGCUUCAGUGCCUCAUUACAUUACCGAAUUAUGUAAGUUACAUAAAAUGGAUACAAAUCAUAAUUUGCAGACAGCCCAGCGCUGCAGCCCUGUCUGUUGGUCAAGGCCAUACCCCAGAGCUGCUCUUGCGUCUUAGCACAGCCAAACAGAAGUAGAAAGGAAGGUGGUGAACACGUCAAAGGAAAAGCACAGUGAAUGUCACCUUGCACCUGUCAGAAGGGCUGUUACCCAAGGACCAGACACAACGCGUGUGAGCGUGAGGAGUGUGAGGGCGUGGAGAGGAUGCGGAGAGUAGGAAGCCGUCUACACUGCAGGUACCCAGGACUUUUCCGUGCAUGGCGUCAUUGGCUCAUACCCACAGGUCAGUGAGCCCCCAAGGCAGGCUGCAGGCAGGGACCGCACCCCUGGACUAAGCCGCCAGGGCCCAGGAGCCCAAGGCUAGUACGUGGCACCCCUGGGUGCAGAACUUUGACCUCUUUCUGCACCGCACAGCGCUCCUUGCUCCUGGGUUUGCAUACAAUUCAUGCAACACACACAGAUUUGUAUUCAAUAGCAGUAAUAACCAUUCAUUGUUUCUAUGAACGAAUCCGCCAGCCAGAGGGGCGUGGGCAGUGCUCAGGGCGGCUCUGAUUUCUGCCUGCGAGUUCCUCACCCCCGGCCCCCAGAAAGCUGCCUGUUCUCCCUCGGGACUCCUUGUUUACAAACGCGCAGCUUCCCUCUGCAGCGAGAGCCAAACGAUGAGCCUCAUGGUCAAGAGCCACACUCAAUCUCCUUUUUAAUGAGCUGCCUCUCAGUUUGGCUCAGGUCAAUGUCACCUGCUGUCCGUUAUCCGUACUUCAAAGGACUGGGUCACGGCUGCUGGCGCUGGGAAUGUGAGUGAAUUUCGGCCCAGACAGCACAACCAUUAGAGUGAUGUGUGGCUUCCUUUAUCAAGGGGACCUUCGUGACUGUGGACGGAGCCGACUCACAGCCACGCUGUCACCGCCGCCACGAUACCAACGCUGAGCCCUCAUGUUCUACCAGAGACCCCUUAAU
Hyaena hyaena (striped hyena) is the source of this 1138-nucleotide long non-coding RNA. RefSeq lists it as uncharacterized. The record is from RefSeq and is a predicted model, not a curated record. NCBI's taxonomy places the organism in Eukaryota, Metazoa, Chordata, Mammalia, Carnivora, Hyaenidae. The transcript is spliced from 3 exons.